CCCUUAGAUGUUCUGGGCUGCACGCGCGCUACACUGAUGCGAUCAACAAGUUUUUCCUAUGUCGAUAGACACGGGUAAUCUUUUGAACUCGCAUCGUGAUGGGGAUAGAUUAUUGUAAUUAUUAAUCUUCGACGAGGAAUUCCUAGUAGGUGCAAAUCAUCAGUUUGCAUCGAUUACGUCCCUGCCCUUUGUACACACCGCCCGUCGCUGCUACCGAUUGGUUGAUCUGGUGAAUUAUUCGGACUGCCGGCUGAAGGGGUUUCCUCAUCUGCCAGCGGAACGUCUUGUUAACCCUAUCAACUAGAGGAAGCAGAAGUCGUAACA
This 324-nucleotide ribosomal RNA is filed under the name uncultured eukaryote. RNAcentral describes it as "partial 18S ribosomal RNA". It matches the Rfam family "Eukaryotic small subunit ribosomal RNA", at positions 1470 to 1796 of the family's 1831-position model. The record is from RNAcentral.